CUUCGUUGAUCCUGCCAGUAGUCAUAUGCUUGUCUCAAAGAUUAAGCCAUCCAUGUCUCAGUAUAGGCUGAAUUGAAUGAUCGGAAACCGCGAAUGGCUCAUUAAAUCAGUUAUGGUUUCUUGGAUCUAAUCCAAACUUACUUGGAUAACUGUGGUAAUUCUAGAGCUAAUACACACAAACGAAAUUCCUCUCAGAGAUGGGAGGAAUGCAUUUAUUCGAUCAAAACCAAUCGGUGGCGGAUGGCUCGCUAUCCGUACAUCGUCUGUUUUAGUGACUCUGAAUAACUUUAAGCCGAUCACAUGGUCAUCUAGCACCGGCGACGCAUCUUUAAAAUGUCUGCCUUAUCAACUCUCGAUGGUAGGUUCUGCGCUUACCAUGGUUGUAACGGGUAACGGAGAAUCAGGGUUCGAUUCCGGAGAGGGAGCCUGAAAAACAGCUACCACAUCCAAGGAAGACAGCAGUCGCGCAAAUUACCCACUCCCGGCACGGGGAGGUAGUGACGAAAAAUAACGAUACGAGACUUAUCCGAGGCCCCAUAAUCGGAAUGAGUACACUUUAAAUCUUUUAACGAAGACCAAUUAGAGGGCAAGUCUGGUGCCAGCAGCCGCGGUAAUUCCAGCUCCAAUAGCGUAUAUUAAAGUUGCGGUUAAAAUGCUCGCAGUUGGAUCUGUGUGUCACUGUCGGUUCACCGCUCGCGGUGUUUAACUGGCAUUAUGUGAUACGUCCUAUCAGUGGGCUUAGCUCCUCGCGGACGGUCCAACUAAUCUCCCAUCGCGGUGCUUUUCACUGAGUGUCGAGGUGGGCCGAUACGUUUACUUUGAACAAAUUAGAAUGCUUAAAGCAGGCUACCUUCGCCUGAAUACUUUGUGCAUGGAAUAAUGGAAUAGGACCUCGGUUCUGUUUUGUUGGUUUUCGGAGUCCCGAGGUAAUGAUUAAUGGGGACAGAUUGGGGCAUUCGUAUUGCGACGUUAGAGGUGAAAUUCUUCGAUCGUCGCAAGUCGGACAGAAGCGAAAGCAUUUGCCAAAAAUGUUUUCAUUAAUCAAGAACGAAAGUUAGAGGUUCGAAGGCGAUCAUACCUCCCUAUUUCUAACCAUAAACGAUGCCAGCGAUCCGCCGAAGUUCUUCAGAUGACUCGGCG
This 1140-nucleotide ribosomal RNA is filed under the name Lepidotrigona ventralis hoosana. Its description in RNAcentral is "bacterial SSU rRNA". It matches the Rfam family "Eukaryotic small subunit ribosomal RNA", at positions 1 to 1081 of the family's 1831-position model. Lineage: Eukaryota; Metazoa; Arthropoda; Insecta; Hymenoptera; Apidae. The record is from RNAcentral.